UACGGAGGCAGCAGUGGGGAAUAUUGCACAAUGGGCGCAAGCCUGAUGCAGCCAUGCCGCGUGUAUGAAGAAGGCCUUCGGGUUGUAAAGUACUUUCAGUCGUGAGGAAGGUGUUAAGGUUAAUAACCUUAGCAAUUGACGUUAGCGACAGAAGAAGCACCGGCUAACUCCGUGCCAGCAGCCGCGGUAAUACGGAGGGUGCGAGCGUUAAUCGGAAUUACUGGGCGUAAAGGGCACGCAGGCGGUUAAUUAAGUUGGAUGUGAAAUCCCCGGGCUUAACCUGGGAAUGGCAUUCAAGACUGGUUAGCUAGAGUCUUGUAGAGGGGGUAGAAUUCCAUGUGUAGCGGUGAAAUGCGUAGAGAUGUGGAGGAAUACCGGUGGCGAAGGCGGCCCCUGGGACAAAGACUGACGCUCAUGUGCGAAAGCGUGGGGAGCGAAACAGGGAUUAGAUACC
RNAcentral lists this ribosomal RNA (454 nucleotides) under uncultured bacterium. RNAcentral describes it as "bacterial SSU rRNA". It matches the Rfam family "Bacterial small subunit ribosomal RNA", at positions 340 to 786 of the family's 1533-position model. The record is from RNAcentral.